RNAcentral lists this ribosomal RNA (1557 nucleotides) under Rhynchonycteris naso (proboscis bat). RNAcentral's name for it is "partial 16S ribosomal RNA". It matches the Rfam family "Bacterial large subunit ribosomal RNA". The record is from RNAcentral. Lineage: Eukaryota; Metazoa; Chordata; Mammalia; Chiroptera; Emballonuridae.
CUAUUUCUAGCUCGACUACGCAAAGCCCAAUUAGCAACAAAACCUAAAACAAAACAUUUAUCAUCGGAUAAAAGUAUAGGAGAUAGAAAUUAUACUCGACGCUAUAGAGAGAGUACCGUAAGGGAACAAUAAACUUAAAGUAAAAAAAAGCAAAGAUUACCCCUUGUACCUUCUGCAUAAUGAUUUAACUAGAAAACCUUUAGCAAAGUGAACUGAAGCUAAACACCCCGAAACCAGACGAGCUAUCUAAGGACAGCCCAAAGAGCAAACUCAUCUAUGUGGCAAAAUAGCGAGAAGAUCCCUAGAUAGAGGCGACAAACCAACCGAGCCUGGUGAUAGCUGGUUGUCCAGCAAACGAAUUUUAGUUCAAGUAUAAGCUUGCCUACAACAAUAACAAGUUUAAUGUAAGCUUACAACUUAGUCCAAAGGGGUACAGCCCUUUGGACACAGGAUACAGCCUUUAUUAGAGAGUAAUUACCUGAAACAUCAUAGUUGGCCUAAAAGCAGCCACCCAUUAAGAAAGCGUUCAAGCUCAAUAACCAAAACAAUCUUAAUUUCACCCAUACAAAACAACUCCUAAUAUCAAACUGGACUAUUCUAUUUCCAAAUAGAAGCAAUAAUGUUAAUAUGAGUAACAAGAAUAAUUUCUCCUAGCACAAGCAUAUACCAGACCGGAUAUUCCACUGGUAGUUAACAACACUUAAACCAAGCCCAAAAAUAAAACCUUUAUACAACAUUAUGUUAACCCAACACAGGAGUGCUACCUAAAGGAAAGAUUAAAAGGGAUAAAAGGAACUCGGCAAACACGAACCCCGCCUGUUUACCAAAAACAUCACCUCUAGCCUCACUAGUAUUAGAGGCACUGCCUGCCCAGUGACAUUAGUUCAACGGCCGCGGUAUCCUGACCGUGCAAAGGUAGCAUAAUCACUUGUUCUCUAAAUAAGGACUUGUAUGAAUGGCCACACGAGGGUUCAACUGUCUCUUACCCCCAAUCAGUGAAAUUGACCUUCCCGUGAAGAGGCGGGAAUAAUAUAAUAAGACGAGAAGACCCCAUGGAGCUUCAAUUAAUUAAUCCAAAAAGAACCACUACAAAUCUGAUAAGAACUAACACACCUUUACUUGGAUUAACAAUUUAGGUUGGGGUGACCUCGGAAUAAAAACUAACUUCCGAGUGAUUUAUAUUUAGACCUACAGGUCAAAAUAAAACCAUCAUUAAUUGAUCCAAUCAUUUGAUCAACGGACCAAGUUACCCUGGGGAUAACAGCGCAAUCCUAUUCAAGAGUCCAUAUCGACAAUAGGGUUUACGACCUCGAUGUUGGAUCAGGACAUCCUAGUGGUGCAGCCGCUACUAAGGGUUCGUUUGUUCAACGAUUAAUAGUCCUACGUGAUCUGAGUUCAGACCGGAGCAAUCCAGGUCGGUUUCUAUCUAUUUUAUGCCUCCCCCAGUACGAAAGGACAAGGGAAGCAGGGCCCACUUCACUUAUGCGCCCUCAAACUUAACAGAUUAUACAAUAUCAAUCUGAUAAUGUACGAACCACAUACCCUAGAUCAGGGUUC